AGCUGGAGGGCAACUUCUAGCUGGAGCUGAGAACUUGGUCAAACUUGGUCAUUUAGAGGAAGUACAAGUCGUAACAAGGUUUCCGUAGGUGAACCUGCGGAAGGAUCAUUA
This 111-nucleotide ribosomal RNA is filed under the name Liangdongia dendrica. RNAcentral describes it as "[Candida] dendrica partial 18S ribosomal RNA". It matches the Rfam family "Eukaryotic small subunit ribosomal RNA", at positions 1723 to 1831 of the family's 1831-position model. The record is from RNAcentral. Lineage: Eukaryota; Fungi; Ascomycota; Saccharomycetes; Phaffomycetales; Wickerhamomycetaceae.